UACGUAGGUGGCGAGCGUUGUCCGGAUUUACUGGGCGUAAAGGGAGCGUAGGCGGAUUUUUAAGUGAGAUGUGAAAUACUCGGGCUCAACUUGAGUGCUGCAUUUCAAACUGGAAGUCCAGAGCGCAGGAGAGGAGAAUGGAAUUCCUAGUGUAGCGGUGAAAUGCGUAGAGAUUAGGAAGAACACCAGUGGCGAAGGCGAUUCUCUGGACUGUAACUGACGCUGAGGCUCGAAAGCGUGGGGAGCAAACAGG
RNAcentral lists this ribosomal RNA (253 nucleotides) under uncultured bacterium. RNAcentral describes it as "partial 16S ribosomal RNA". It matches the Rfam family "Bacterial small subunit ribosomal RNA", at positions 524 to 776 of the family's 1533-position model. The record is from RNAcentral.